Molecule: regulatory RNA element, 117 nt
Rfam family: ALIL pseudoknot
Source: Rfam
CGCGUAUUUUGCCCAGGCGGAGCUCGACCGCCGGUUCCGGUCAUGAUCGCCUUCAUCGACGAUCAUCGUGCGCUCUACGGGGUCGAGCCGAUCUGCAAGGUUCUGCCGAUCGCCCCG